CUCAGAUAUUCGAGAACUGCAACCAGUCGAGUCUACAGCAUCCAGGUGAGAUGAGCCACUGAAGCAAGGGAGAAACUGUCAUUGGGAAGAGAAUCUUUACUACUGUGUGACCAAAGAAAUGUUAUCACCUGACUACUCACACUGCAUGACUCACACACACACACACACACACACACAGUACAACUAUCCAAAGUAAAACUCCAUGAUGGCACUACCCACCACUUUACACCUCAAUCUAGAUGGAAAUGCAGUUUUUGUGAUUUUCCCUAUUAAAUUGAGCCUUGUCAAAAACUCAUCCAACAGCUUGAGAAUAUGGAUCCCGAGCAAACACGCUCACAUCAGGGCUAACAAAGACUAUCUGAGUGGGCUAAGUAAGGAAUAAAGCAUGUUGUGUCAUGCCGUUAGAUCAACAAUGUGGUGGUGUGAUGCAGCCAGAUGUGAAGCGCAGUUCCUCCUAACCACCCGACGUUGAUAAUUUUGCAAGCAUAACUCAUCCUGAAGUGUUUGAUUCCUCUUAUACCACAGCAAAAACAAUACAUGGUACUUUUGAUCAGUGUCUAGUCACAUACCCAUCAGUGUCCUGCUACAGUAUGCAAUUGAUACCAAAUUGUUUCACAGAUAAUUCUGAUAUCACUAACAUUAUAACAGCUGUAAAAAUUCUCCCUCCUCAUCAGUUUCUCUCUCUCUCUCUCUCUCUCUCAAACAUUGCAGCUUGUCAUCUUACCAAGAACCCGGAAAGUACUUUCUUUUCCACGGCAGGAAACUGACUGGCACAACACUCUAGAAAUUACACAUUUCCCAUAGCGUAAUGUUAAAUGUGCUGCCUGAGGCCACUUGCACGGUCCUUCAAAGCAACGGGGCAUUUGCUACUUUUACCCUUCUUUCAGCCUCCUCAUCUUUCAUCUCAAGUUCACCUUUCUCUAGUGUAGUUAUCCAGUGAAGCAUCGCUUUUUCAUCCCUAACUCGACAUGACUCGACAUUGAACCCACACCAUAAAGCCUAUUAUGUCAUCAAGAUAAAUCAAAUAACAGCACUGGGUUCUUCGAACCUCCCAUGGCACUCUGCCCACCUUCAUUCCACCCUGUCUCCACUUUCACUUGUACUUACUGCAUUUUUCAUCACCAGAGUCACAAAAGGGUAUUUUUGGUAUUCCAGUGAAAGCAAAUGCCUUGUAGCCACGCUUGGGAUUUCAACGUGUGCUUUAUGGCCAGCAAAGGAAUGACAAGGGAAACUGUAACUUACUGUACUUAACAAACUGUAAACUCACAGUCGAUUGAGACUCCUUUUAAAUAAUCAGAUAUUUUAUAAUGCUAAUGCUAAAUAUAAAAUAUGCCAUUUCGAUAAGCCUCUUUCUACUGUGGAAUAUUUAAACAGCUAUGCCUUGGCUUUUCAUCUUCAAGUUAGUUACACAAGGGUCUGGUUUAAUAAAAGAUACAAUCAUGUAUAAUUGAGGUACUUAAACAUUACCUUCAAACACACAGCGCUGCAUAGCUAACCUAAUAUUCAGCAAGAAUUGAUCCUAACUUUAAACUUCAAAAGAUAUGCCAAUCACAUAGCUAUACUGCAACAAGUGGUAGCUUAGUGGUUAAUAUGUUGGAUGUCUGAACAGAAGGUUGUGAGUUUGAAUCCCAGGUCCACCAAGCUGCCACUGCUGGGUCUCUGAGCAAGGCUCAGUUGCAUAUAAACCCUUAACUGCUCAUUUAUAUAAAUGACAUAAAUGUAAGUCUCUCUGGAUAAGGGCUUCUGCCAAAUGCUAUAAAUGUAAAUGUACUGCAAGAACAUAAAUGUGUUGCUGUAGAAGAAGUUGAGCAUGAAGACAUUAUUCUUUCAUUCAUCCUAACUAAGAGGUUAUUCCAAGUCAGGGGUGUAGUGGAUGUGGACUGGAUGUGACGCAGGAACACACCCUGGAUGGUAAGCAUGUUUUAAAGAGUAGGAUGACACCAUUGAACCAUGAGGAUUAUUUUGCAAUCUUAACACAUUCUGAAGUAAUUCCACGUAUAACACAUAAAAAUAUAAAGAACACUAGAUUAGAUAGAUAGAUAGAUAGAUAGAUAGAUAGAUAGAUAGAUAGAUAGAUAGAUAGAUAGAUAGAUAGAUAGAUAGAUAGAUAGAGUGGAACCUCGGCAUACAAAUUUUAUUCAUUCUGGAGGUGAGUUCUUAGGGUGAAAAUAGCGAAAUAAUGUAAAUAAUGAAUAAAUAAUGUAAAUGCAGAUAAUCCGUUCCAGCCACCCAAAAAUAUUCCCAAUACGAAGCGUAUGUAAACUGUAUGGCUGCUUACAAAGAACUGACCCAAGCCAAGCAUUCCAAGUCCUCAUAGGAAGUCGUGCCACCAAACUUGAGCUAAAAAUAGAGAAGACCACCCAUGCCACCAGUCUGUCUGUAGCUUUUAAGCACAUGCCGAAGGCAGUGCUGGUAUUGUGGGUUGACUCUUUCAAAACAGCUUUUGCUGACUGAGAAAUAAUUCGUAAACUCUCUUCGGUUGGCUUCCCUUGGCUUUCCACUGAAGCAAACAAGUUUUGAACGGCUCCCAGACGUAAGCGCGAUUUAGCCAGUUUGUUCGUAUGCCGAAUUCUUAAGGCAAAAAUUCGUAAAGAGAGCAUUCGUAUGCCGAGGUUCCACUGUACAGGUAUGUGUUAGCUGUGUAUACACCACAGUAUGUGUAAAAACACAAAUAUGUGUGUCUGUGCAAUAUGUGUGCAUUAUGUACAUUGUAUUGAUUGUGUAUCAAUAACAGCAGUAAAAAGUCAUCCCCCAUCAGUUCCUUCUCUCUCUCUCUCUCUCUCUCUCUCCCUUUCUCAAUGGAUAAAACUAGUGAACCCUGAGGAAACCUAUGUGAGACACCAACAAACUUGACACAGACAACAACCUGAGGAAUGAGACUCUGGAGCGAUGAGCUGCCAGAGAAAAGAGAUUUUUUCUUUUUCUGUAUUUAUUUACUUUUAAGGCAUUUACAAUGGAUCUUUAAACAGACACUUUGAUCUGAAGUGAUUUUUGUGAAAGUCUGGCUUUAAUCAGAAAGGCUGAAUACAAUCCAAUCACAUUAAAGCUGAAGAUUCUCAGUGGUCUAUGAGCCGUAGCCGUACCUUACACGACAAAAUGAGCAUCUGAUUUAAUGAAUGGAAUAUAUUUCAGCCUGGAAACUAGACUUACUUUGAUAAUCCAAAGAAAUGACCAAAGAUGGCAUUGAAGUGGGUUGAAUCCGCUUACAGAGACACUGUUUAUGUGCUAGCUGCUCUUAUGUGUACUACUCUCUAUUACUGGGAGGGUUUCUAAAUAGUCCAGUCUCUGUAAUGGUUGCUUUGCUGCAGUGUGUAUGGAGUGGCUAAUGCCUGUGGGGCACAUAUGGUUUAGUGUCCUGCUUAAGGUCCAAACACUAUUAAAACAAAGAAUUUAUGGCUACUUACUGUAUAUUUACUGCUUUCCAGAAAUGUUGGUCAGCCUCUCUGGUGUUCACUGGUUUUUUACGUUUCGAUACAAACUGUCUGGCUAUGUAGGACAAAAAAACAGCUUUAUAGAGACACAUGGUCUGCAAUUAACCAGUAAAUUCCCAAAUGUUUUUUUUUAUGCUUUAUAACCCUGGUGUCUUGAUCAUAAUAGUAAAAAUCAAUAUGUUAUUCUAUUU
Molecule: long non-coding RNA, 3622 nt
Organism: Hemibagrus wyckioides
Lineage: Eukaryota; Metazoa; Chordata; Actinopteri; Siluriformes; Bagridae
Exons: 3
Source: RefSeq, a predicted model, not a curated record